Molecule: ribosomal RNA, 501 nt
Filed under: uncultured bacterium
Lineage: Bacteria
Description: partial 16S ribosomal RNA
Rfam family: Bacterial small subunit ribosomal RNA
Source: RNAcentral
AUUGAACGCUGGCGGCAGGCUUAACACAUGCAAGUCGAGCGGGGGAAGGUAGCUUGCUACUGGACCUAGCGGCGGACGGGUGAGUAAUGCUUAGGAAUCUGCCUAUUAGUGGGGGACAACAUCUCGAAAGGGAUGCUAAUACCGCAUACGUCCUACGGGAGAAAGCAGGGGAUCUUCGGACCUUGCGCCAGUAGAUGAGCCUAAGGCGGAUUAGCCAGUUGGUGGGGUAAAGGCCUACCAAGGCGACGAUUUGUAGCGGGUCUGAGAGGAUGAUCCGCCACACUGGGACUGAGACACGGCCCAGACUCCUACGGGAGGAAGCAGUGGGGAAUAUUGGACAAUGGGGGGAACCCUGAUCCAGCCAUGCCGCGUGUGUGAAGAAGGCCUUAUGGUUGUAAAGCACUUUAAGCGAGGAGGAGGCUACUCUAGUUAAUACCUAGGGAUAGUGGACGUUACUCGCAGAAUAAGCACCGGCUAACUCUGUGCCAGCCGCCGCGGUAA